ACACACUUACCCGUAGAGAUUCUA
RNAcentral lists this microRNA (24 nucleotides) under Homo sapiens (human). RNAcentral's name for it is "hsa-miR-216b-3p". Its record names the gene hsa-miR-216b-3p. The record is from miRBase by way of RNAcentral. Lineage: Eukaryota; Metazoa; Chordata; Mammalia; Primates; Hominidae.